GAUGAACGCUGGCGGCGUGCCUAAUACAUGCAAGUCGAGCGAACGGACGAGAAGCAUGCUUCUCUGAUGUUAGCGGCGGACGGGUGAGUAACACGUGGAUAACCUACCUAUAAGACUGGGAUAACUUCGGGAAACCGGAGCUAAUACCGGAUAAUAUUUUGAACCGCAUGGUUCAAAAGUGAAAGACGGUCUUGCUGUCACUUAUAGAUGGAUCCGCGCUGCAUUAGCUAGUUGGUAAGGUAACGGCUUACCAAGGCAACGAUGCAUAGCCGACCUGAGAGGGUGAUCGGCCACACUGGAACUGAGACACGGUCCAGACUCCUACGGGAGGCAGCAGUAGGGAAUCUUCCGCAAUGGGCGAAAGCCUGACGGAGCAACGCCGCGUGAGUGAUGAAGGUCUUCUGAUCGUAGAACUCUGUUAUUAGGGAAGAACAUAUGUGUAAGUAACUGUGCACAUCUUGACGGUACCUAAUCAGAAAGCCACGGCUAACUACGUG
Molecule: ribosomal RNA, 497 nt
Filed under: uncultured bacterium
Lineage: Bacteria
Description: partial 16S ribosomal RNA
Rfam family: Bacterial small subunit ribosomal RNA
Source: RNAcentral